This 441-nucleotide ribosomal RNA is filed under the name uncultured Bacteroidota bacterium. Its description in RNAcentral is "bacterial SSU rRNA". It matches the Rfam family "Bacterial small subunit ribosomal RNA", at positions 317 to 755 of the family's 1533-position model. Lineage: Bacteria; Pseudomonadati; Bacteroidota. The record is from RNAcentral.
UACUGAGACACGGACCAGACUCCUACGGGAGGCAGCAGUGAGGAAUAUUGGACAAUGGGCGCAAGCCUGAUCCAGCCAUGCCGCGUGCAGGAAGAAGCAUCUAUGGUGUGUAAACUGCUUUUGUACGGGAAGAAACACUCCGACGUGUCGGAGCUUGACGGUACCGUAAGAAUAAGGAUCGGCUAACUCCGUGCCAGCAGCCGCGGUAAUACGGAGGAUCCAAGCGUUAGCCGGAAUCAUUGGGUUUAAAGGGUCCGUAGGCGGUUUAAUAAGUCAGUGGUGAAAGCCCAUCGCUUAACGAUGGAACGGCCAUUGAUACUGUUAGACUUGAAUUAUUAGGAAGUAACUAGAAUAUGUAGUGUAGCGGUGAAAUGCUUAGAUAUUACAUGGAAUACCAAUUGCGAAGGCAGGUUACUACUAAUGGAUUGACGCUGAUGGACG